CAAGGUCUCAUAAUAUCCCUGACUAACUGUCCUUUUCACUGACCAACUGCCAUCCUCUUCUAGAAUCUUCCCUCGGGUCCCUGUAACGUUCCUGAUGUAACUGCCCAUCAGUAAGUGGCCACUACGACCUCCAGAGCCCUGACUAACUGCUGGCCUGUCACUGACCAUCUGACAUCCUCUUCUAGAACCUUUUCGCUGCCCCUCUGUAACUUCCCUGGCUAAAUGGCAGCUUUUAAUUGACCACCUACUAGCCUCUUCCAGAACAUUCCCUCACGACCCUACAAUUGCUCUGACUUCCAGUCUGGUGUUGACUGACACCUUCUUCCAAAAGAUUCCCUUUAGUUCCAGUAACAUCUCAGACUAACUUCCAGUCUGUCAAUGACCAUGUGCCACCCCCUUCCAGAUCCUUCCCCCCGGGGUUCUGUAAUCCCCAUGACUGACAGUCCAUCCGUCACCAACCGUCACUUGUCUUCCAGUGAAUUUAGAUAAGUCUGGGGAGUGGCCAUACCAGUUCCUCAGACGGGCCAAACUGAUGCCUCAGCCAGGUGUAAACAAGAACCUGCUAAGUGGCCUAAGUGGAAAGGGGGCAGGGGCAAAAGUCUACAUCUUAGCAAAGAAACAGCAUGGAGUUUCCUUCCACACAGACUGCUUGUUGCCUUGCUCCUAGCUGGAAACGUUUUUCAAGAGGGGGACUGGAACUAUAAAAAGAAGGGGCAGACACUCCUCUCUCUUUCCCUGCCUAUCACAUUCUGUGCACCUGAGAAGACACAGCAGCCACUGGACUCCGGGGGAGGGGUCAUGACCUAAAGAGUUUGGUCAGUAAGACUGCUGAAAGCACAUGGUGAGAAAAUUUUGCUUUGAAUCUAAUAUAGUUUGUUAGGCACCA
Mauremys reevesii (Reeves's turtle) is the source of this 886-nucleotide long non-coding RNA. RefSeq lists it as uncharacterized. The transcript is spliced from 2 exons. NCBI's taxonomy places the organism in Eukaryota, Metazoa, Chordata, Testudines, Geoemydidae. The record is from RefSeq and is a predicted model, not a curated record.